Molecule: ribosomal RNA, 415 nt
Filed under: uncultured prokaryote
Description: bacterial SSU rRNA
Rfam family: Bacterial small subunit ribosomal RNA
Source: RNAcentral
GUGCCAGCCGCCGCGGUAAUACGUAGGUGACGAGCGUUAUCCGGAUUUAUUGGGCGUAAAGCGCGUGUAGGUGGCUUUUCAAGUCGGAUGUGAAAUCUCCCGGCUUAACUGGGAGGAGUCAUUCGAUACUGUUAGGCUAGAGGGCAGCAGAGGGAGGUGGAAUUCCCGGUGUAGUGGUGAAAUGCGUAGAUAUCGGGAGGAACACCAGUGGCGAAAGCGACCUCCUAGGCUGUUCCUGACGCUGAGGCGCGAAAGCGUGGGGAGCAAACACGAUUAGAUACCGUGGUAGUCCACGCCAUAAACGAUGGACACUAGGUAUGGGGGGUAUCGACCCCCUCCGUGCCGAAGCUAACGCGUUAAGUGUCCCGCCUGGGGAGUACGGCCGCAAGGCUAAAACUCAAAUGAAUUGACGGGG